UGUAUCAUGUAACUUGGAGUGGCUGAGCAAGUGACCUCCUUAAUUUUCACUUACAAACUUAGAGUGAAUUGUGCGAAGUGAUGGCAUUUUUCUCCAUCUGAAAAAUCAACACUAUGAAAUAACUUAUAGUAGAGCAACAGGACCCUGAAGAUAUGUAUUCUACUUGCCAGCUAAGGAAAUGCUGCCAGUACAGAAAAGUGAAAGAAGAGAAGACUGCGAGAAGGCUAAUGAUAUUUUGUUAAUUAAUGGUUGCCUUGUCCAUGAAUGCCACUGAUGAGUUAUGGAGGAGAUGUUUUCAAUGUGAGAGAGCACAAUUCAUGAAGAGCUAACAAAGGAAAUUGGUGCUAGAAGUUUCCAGGAGAAAUGAAAAAAAGAUUCUUUGUGUUUGCUCUAUAUUCAGACUUUUCACUCUGAAUGCAUGAAGCUGGUAAACCUGAGACCAACCUGGAAUAGUGAAUACACCUGCUUGUACAAGACAACCUUUGUUUAACACAGUGCUUUUUUUUCCUCUUUCUUAAACAAUGAUACCUAGUGAAGUGCUACCUGAAGCCGCAGUUGAUCUUGAUCAGACUGGAACAGUGCAUACACAUAUAGGAAGUUCUGAAUGUAGAGGACCUGAUUACUAUAUUAACAUGUAAAUAAGUAAAUGGUUAAAUGGAUUAACGAAAACACUAGUGUGCUUUGAAAAAAGAGAGAGUUUCUGGAAAUGAUGCUGACUGUAUAUUGCUCAAGAUAAAGGUCGCUAAUAGUUAAACUGCAUUAUUGUAUGCAUCCAAUCCCGAAAGAAAAUCAAACUGGUUGAAUAGGACACAAGAUUGUCUUUUGCAGUUGUACAGAAUAGUUGAAGAUUAUGAACAAUUGCUUUCAGUUCCUUUGGCCAUGAGCUUCAGGAACUGAAGUUGUUGCAAAAUACAUUGUGUUGGGCAUGUUUGAUGUCAACUGGAGUUAAAGUUUUGCAGGACUAUCUUAAAGCUGCAAGUGUGGAAGCAGCAGCAGUCCUGCAGACUGGGAAGGCUUAUGGUGCCACGUAUCCCCAAAAGAGUCACAGGAGACAAACUUUUAAAAGGGGAAGCAUGGAGGAAAGACAAUGCGAGGAAGAUAAAAAUGCAAAGCAGAGGUGCUAUAUCAAAUACAUAAAUUGUCACUUCCCAUGCAGCACAUCUCACAUUGAUGACAUGAACUUCUCUUGCAUCUUUGAGUUACAGAAAGGACCGGCUCUGCAUUAUUACAAGUAUCCACGUUAUCUUUGUUACUCACAGCUUGAUUCAACUAAACUGUAAUGGCUGCGACUGAAAACAUGUAAAAUAUUUAAGUGUGUUUCAGCUGGACAUGCUUAUAUUAGGUGUCUGAAGUCAGAGCUGCAGAAUUGAGAGUGAUUUGGAAAGCCAAGUCUAAAGACUAAACUGAAAGAGGAAGAAAAAUAAUAUUUUAUACAAUGCAGUUGGAAAGGAAAUCUCCAAGAGCUGGGUUCCUUUUGCAAUUACAAAAGUUGUUCCAGAAUUUGAAUUUUACAUAUCACUAAGAAGGAGACAAUUAACAUGUUCUGGGUCAUUACCAAAUGGCUUUGUUUGUACUCUUAACUGUAGUUCAUUUCUGGGUCAUUCCAGGAAUGAAGCUCAUCACUGUGUAGCAUAGUUUUUUUCAUGUUAGUUGCUACAGCUUAGUUGAAGUUGUACAUGUUAUUUCUUGGCAAUUUUGCACAUUAAAUAAAAGAUGUCUUAAAAUCCA
Molecule: long non-coding RNA, 1728 nt
Filed under: Numida meleagris (helmeted guineafowl)
Lineage: Eukaryota; Metazoa; Chordata; Aves; Galliformes; Numididae
Description: lncRNA (ENSNMEG00000009338.1)
Source: RNAcentral